Molecule: ribosomal RNA, 439 nt
Filed under: uncultured bacterium
Lineage: Bacteria
Description: partial 16S ribosomal RNA
Rfam family: Bacterial small subunit ribosomal RNA
Source: RNAcentral
CCUACGGGAGGCAGCAGUGGGGAAUAUUUCACAAUGGGGGAAACCCUGAUGCAGCGACGCCGCGUGAGUGAAGAAGGAUUUCGGUAUGUAAAGCUCUAUCAGCAGGGAAGCAAAUUACGGUAACUGAUUAAGAAGCCCCCGCUAACUACGUGCCAGCAGCCGCGGGAAUACGUAGGGGGCAAGCGUUAUCCGGAUUAGCUGGGUUUAAAGGGUGCGUAGGCGGAGUGUCAAGUCAGCGGUAAAUUUUCGGGGCUAAACCCCGUCGUGCCGUUGAAACUGACGCCCUUGAGUGAGUGAGAAGUAAGCGGAAUGCGUGGUGUAGCAGUGAAAUGCAUAGAUAUCACGCAGAACGCCGAUUGCGAAGGCAGCUUACCGGCGCUCAACUGACGCUGAGGCACGAAAGUGCGGGUAUCGAACAGGAUUAGAUACCCCAGUAGUC